RNAcentral lists this ribosomal RNA (460 nucleotides) under uncultured bacterium. Its description in RNAcentral is "partial 16S ribosomal RNA". It matches the Rfam family "Bacterial small subunit ribosomal RNA", at positions 338 to 795 of the family's 1533-position model. The record is from RNAcentral.
CCUACGGGAGGCAGCAGUGAGGAAUAUUGGUCAAUGGACGAGAGUCUGAACCAGCCAAGUAGCGUGAAGGAUGACUGCCCUAUGGGUUGUAAACUUCUUUUAUAUGGGAAUAAAAUGUUCCACGUGUGGGAUUUUGUAUGUACCAUAUGAAUAAGGAUCGUCUAACUCCGUGCCAGCAGCCGCGGUAAUACGGAGGAUCCGAGCGUUAUCUGGAUUUAUUUGGUUUAAAGGGAGCGUAGGUGGAUUGUUAAGUCAGUUGUGAAAGUUUGCGGCUCAACCGUAAAAUUGCAGUUGAAACUGGCAGUCUUGAGUACAGUAGAGGUGGGCGGAAGUCGUGGUGUAGCGGUGAAAUGCUUAGAUAUCACGAAGAACUCCGAUUGCGAAGGCAGCUCACUGGACUGCAACUGACACUGAGGCUCGAAAGUGUGGGUAUCAAACAGGAUUAGAUACCCCAGUAGUC